GAUGAACGCUGGCGGCGUGCCUAAUACAUGCAAGUCGAGCGAACAGAUGAGGAGCUUGCUCCUCUGACGUUAGCGGCGGACGGGUGAGUAACACGUGGAUAACCUACCUAUAAGACUGGGAUAACUUCGGGAAACCGGAGCUAAUACCGGAUAAUAUAUUGAACCGCAUGGUUCAAUAGUGAAAGACGGUUUUGCUGUCACUUAUAGAUGGAUCCGCGCCGCAUUAGCUAGUUGGUAAGGUAACGGCUUACCAAGGCAACGAUGCGUAGCCGACCUGAGAGGGUGAUCGGCCACACUGGAACUGAGACACGGUCCAGACUCCUACGGGAGGCAGCAGUAGGGAAUCUUCCGCAAUGGGCGAAAGCUUGACGGAGCAACGCCGCGUGAGUGAUGAAGGUCAUCGGAUCGUAAAACUCUGUUAUUAGGGAAGAACAAAUGUGUAAGUAACUAUGCACGUCUUGACGGUACCUAAUCAGAAAGCCACGGCUAACUACGUG
RNAcentral lists this ribosomal RNA (497 nucleotides) under uncultured bacterium. RNAcentral's name for it is "partial 16S ribosomal RNA". It matches the Rfam family "Bacterial small subunit ribosomal RNA", at positions 28 to 507 of the family's 1533-position model. The record is from RNAcentral.